GCGGGAAUAGCUCAGCUGGUAGAGCGCAACCUUGCCAAGGUUGAGGUCGCGGGUUCGAGACCCGUUUCCCGCUCCA
Molecule: transfer RNA, 76 nt
Filed under: Candidatus Kentrum sp. LPFa
Lineage: Bacteria; Pseudomonadati; Pseudomonadota; Gammaproteobacteria
Also listed under: 3 other names
Description: Candidatus Kentron sp. LPFa tRNA_Gly_GCC
Rfam family: tRNA
About the family: Transfer RNA (tRNA) molecules are approximately 80 nucleotides in length.
Source: RNAcentral